RNAcentral lists this ribosomal RNA (253 nucleotides) under uncultured bacterium. Its description in RNAcentral is "partial 16S ribosomal RNA". It matches the Rfam family "Bacterial small subunit ribosomal RNA", at positions 524 to 776 of the family's 1533-position model. The record is from RNAcentral.
UACGUAGGGUGCGAGCGUUGUCCGGAAUUACUGGGCGUAAAGAGCUCGUAGGUGGUUUGUCGCGUUGUCCGUGAAAACUCACAGCUUAACUGUGGGCGUGCGGGCGAUACGGGCAGACUAGAGUUCGGCAGGGGAGACUGGAAUUCCUGGUGUAGCGGUGAAAUGCGCAGAUAUCAGGAGGAACACCGGUGGCGAAGGCGGGUCUCUGGGCCGAUACUGACGCUGAGGAGCGAAAGCGUGGGGAGCGAACAGG